This 915-nucleotide ribosomal RNA is filed under the name Cordyceps kirkii. Its description in RNAcentral is "LSU rRNA". It matches the Rfam family "Eukaryotic large subunit ribosomal RNA", at positions 31 to 978 of the family's 3401-position model. Lineage: Eukaryota; Fungi; Ascomycota; Sordariomycetes; Hypocreales; Cordycipitaceae. The record is from RNAcentral.
AACUUAAGCAUAUCAAUAAGCGGAGGAAAAGAAACCAACAGGGAUUGCCCCAGUAACGGCGAGUGAAGCGGCAACAGCUCAAAUUUGAAAUCUGGCCCUCGGGUCCGAGUUGUAAUUUGUAGAGGAUGCUUUUGGCGAGGUGCCUUCCGAGUUCCCUGGAACGGGACGCCAUAGAGGGUGAGAGCCCCGUCUGGUUGGACACCGAGCCUCUGUAAAGCUCCUUCGACGAGUCGAGUAGUUUGGGAAUGCUGCUCAAAAUGGGAGGUAUAUGUCUUCUAAAGCUAAAUAUUGGCCAGAGACCGAUAGCGCACAAGUAGAGUGAUCGAAAGAUGAAAAGCACUUUGAAAAGAGGGUUAAACAGUACGUGAAAUUGUUGAAAGGGAAGCGCCUAUGACCAGACUUGGGCCCGGUGAAUCAUCCAGCGUUCUCGCUGGUGCACUUUGCCGGGCACAGGCCAGCAUCAGUUUGGCGCGGGGGAUAAAGGUUUCGGGAAUGUGGCUCCCUCGGGAGUGUUAUAGCCUGUUGCGUAAUACCCUGCGCCGGACUGAGGUACGCGCAUUGCAAGGAUGCUGGCGUAAUGGUCAUCAGCGACCCGUCUUGAAACACGGACCAAGGAGUCGUCUUCGUAUGCGAGUGUUCGGGUGUCAAACCCCUACGCGUAAUGAAAGUGAACGCAGGUGAGAGCUUCGGCGCAUCAUCGACCGAUCCUGAUGUUCUCGGAUGGAUUUGAGUAGGAGCAUACGGGGCCGGACCCGAAAGAAGGUGAACUAUGCCUGUAUAGGGUGAAGCCAGAGGAAACUCUGGUGGAGGCUCGCAGCGGUUCUGACGUGCGAAUCGAUCGUCAAAUAUGGGCAUGGGGGCGAAAGACUAAUCGAACCUUCUAGUAGCUGGUUUCCGCCGAAGUUUCCCUCAGGA